RNAcentral lists this long non-coding RNA (241 nucleotides) under Elaeis guineensis (African oil palm). Its description in RNAcentral is "long non-coding RNA (EGUI_LNC043221)". Lineage: Eukaryota; Viridiplantae; Streptophyta; Magnoliopsida; Arecales; Arecaceae. The record is from RNAcentral.
UGGCUUACUUGUCUCUACUUGCUUUACAUUUUUGUUUAUCAUUCAUUCAUUUAAUUCUGCUGCUAUACAUUGUAUUUGCUGCAUAUUCACUAUAUUUCGCUUAGUUUGUUUCAAAAACCUGCAGGUACUUGUUUGAAUCUUUGGAAACCCAAUUCAUCCCUCCCUCUAGGGUUGUCUACCUAGGCAACAAAUGGUAUCAAAGCUUGGUUCUCAGCUAUAUUUGAUUUGAAAAUCUAGAGUA